This 253-nucleotide ribosomal RNA is filed under the name uncultured bacterium. RNAcentral describes it as "partial 16S ribosomal RNA". It matches the Rfam family "Bacterial small subunit ribosomal RNA", at positions 524 to 776 of the family's 1533-position model. The record is from RNAcentral.
UACGAAGGGGGCUAGCGUUGCUCGGAAUUACUGGGCGUAAAGCGCACGUAGGCGGAUUGUUAAGUCAGGGGUGAAAUCCCGGGGCUCAACCUCGGAACUGCCUUUGAUACUGCAAGUCUCGAGUCCGAUAGAGGUGAGUGGAAUUCCUAGUGUAGAGGUGAAAUUCGUAGAUAUUAGGAAGAACACCAGUGGCGAAGGCGGCUCACUGGAUCGGUACUGACGCUGAGGUGCGAAAGCGUGGGGAGCAAACAGG